This 596-nucleotide long non-coding RNA is filed under the name Mytilus galloprovincialis (Mediterranean mussel). Lineage: Eukaryota; Metazoa; Mollusca; Bivalvia; Mytilida; Mytilidae. The record is from RNAcentral.
GCCGAUUAUAAGAUACACAGUUUUCUCUGCUUUCAAAUCUUUCUGUUUGAACCCGUCGAUCUGGAACUUAUCAAUUAUUGGUAAUAUUAAUUAUUUGGAAAACAAAAGGUCAUGGAAUGGAGUAUUUUUUAAUCAACAGCAUUGUCCUAUAUUAGUUAUAAAUAAAGUUGAAUUCUUUGAUUCGCUGUUUUACGUCAUGCCCGCUAACAAAUUGAAAACUGUACCUAUACGCCUUAUUUUUAGUCCAGAUUUUUAGUAUUCGUAUUGUUAUCUUAGAAAGUCUUACUGAUUAAAAUACUACAAUAGCUAACAAUUUGACAAUUUAUUACUGUCAACCCUGUGAUUAUGACCCGUGUAUAUAGCAUAUUAAUCCUGAAUACACCGUUUGUUGGUGCGCCUGUCAGAUGCGGAACGUACAGAUAAGGUAAUAGGUAACAGGUGAAUAUACUAUUGGUAUCGGUAUCGGACUCGACCCGGAACUUCUUAAUUAUUGGCAAUAUUAAUUACGUGGAAAACAAAAGUGCUUGGAGUGGUGUAAUUUUUAAUCUACAGCUUUGUACUAUAUUAGUUAUAUAUCAAGUUGAAUUCUUUGAUUC